This 2222-nucleotide ribosomal RNA is filed under the name Staphylococcus aureus. RNAcentral's name for it is "partial 23S ribosomal RNA". It matches the Rfam family "Bacterial large subunit ribosomal RNA", at positions 700 to 2925 of the family's 2925-position model. The record is from RNAcentral. Lineage: Bacteria; Bacillati; Bacillota; Bacilli; Caryophanales; Staphylococcaceae.
UAUUUGGUCGUAGACCCGAAACCAGGUGAUCUACCCUUGGUCAGGUUGAAGUUCAGGUAACACUGAAUGGAGGACCGAACCGACUUACGUUGAAAAGUGAGCGGAUGAACUGAGGGUAGCGGAGAAAUUCCAAUCGAACCUGGAGAUAGCUGGUUCUCUCCGAAAUAGCUUUAGGGCUAGCCUCAAGUGAUGAUUAUUGGAGGUAGAGCACUGUUUGGACGAGGGGCCCCUCUCGGGUUACCGAAUUCAGACAAACUCCGAAUGCCAAUUAAUUUAACUUGGGAGUCAGAACAUGGGUGAUAAGGUCCGUGUUCGAAAGGGAAACAGCCCAGACCACCAGCUAAGGUCCCAAAAUAUAUGUUAAGUGGAAAAGGAUGUGGCGUUGCCCAGACAACUAGGAUGUUGGCUUAGAAGCAGCCAUCAUUUAAAGAGUGCGUAAUAGCUCACUAGUCGAGUGACACUGCGCCGAAAAUGUACCGGGGCUAAACAUAUUACCGAAGCUGUGGAUUGUCCUUUGGACAAUGGUAGGAGAGCGUUCUAAGGGCGUUGAAGCAUGAUCGUAAGGACAUGUGGAGCGCUUAGAAGUGAGAAUGCCGGUGUGAGUAGCGAAAGACGGGUGAGAAUCCCGUCCACCGAUUGACUAAGGUUUCCAGAGGAAGGCUCGUCCGCUCUGGGUUAGUCGGGUCCUAAGCUGAGGCCGACAGGCGUAGGCGAUGGAUAACAGGUUGAUAUUCCUGUACCACCUAUAAUCGUUUUAAUCGAUGGGGGGACGCAGUAGGAUAGGCGAAGCGUGCGAUUGGAUUGCACGUCUAAGCAGUAAGGCUGAGUAUUAGGCAAAUCCGGUACUCGUUAAGGCUGAGCUGUGAUGGGGAGAAGACAUUGUGUCUUCGAGUCGUUGAUUUCACACUGCCGAGAAAAGCCUCUAGAUAGAAAAUAGGUGCCCGUACCGCAAACCGACACAGGUAGUCAAGAUGAGAAUUCUAAGGUGAGCGAGCGAACUCUCGUUAAGGAACUCGGCAAAAUGACCCCGUAACUUCGGGAGAAGGGGUGCUCUUUAGGGUUAACGCCCAGAAGAGCCGCAGUGAAUAGGCCCAAGCGACUGUUUAUCAAAAACACAGGUCUCUGCUAAACCGUAAGGUGAUGUAUAGGGGCUGACGCCUGCCCGGUGCUGGAAGGUUAAGAGGAGUGGUUAGCUUCUGCGAAGCUACGAAUCGAAGCCCCAGUAAACGGCGGCCGUAACUAUAACGGUCCUAAGGUAGCGAAAUUCCUUGUCGGGUAAGUUCCGACCCGCACGAAAGGCGUAACGAUUUGGGCACUGUCUCAACGAGAGACUCGGUGAAAUCAUAGUACCUGUGAAGAUGCAGGUUACCCGCGACAGGACGGAAAGACCCCGUGGAGCUUUACUGUAGCCUGAUAUUGAAAUUCGGCACAGCUUGUACAGGAUAGGUAGGAGCCUUUGAAACGUGAGCGCUAGCUUACGUGGAGGCGCUGGUGGGAUACUACCCUAGCUGUGUUGGCUUUCUAACCCGCACCACUUAUCGUGGUGGGAGACAGUGUCAGGCGGGCAGUUUGACUGGGGCGGUCGCCUCCUAAAAGGUAACGGAGGCGCUCAAAGGUUCCCUCAGAAUGGUUGGAAAUCAUUCAUAGAGUGUAAAGGCAUAAGGGAGCUUGACUGCGAGACCUACAAGUCGAGCAGGGUCGAAAGACGGACUUAGUGAUCCGGUGGUUCCGCAUGGAAGGGCCAUCGCUCAACGGAUAAAAGCUACCCCGGGGAUAACAGGCUUAUCUCCCCCAAGAGUUCACAUCGACGGGGAGGUUUGGCACCUCGAUGUCGGCUCAUCGCAUCCUGGGGCUGUAGUCGGUCCCAAGGGUUGGGCUGUUCGCCCAUUAAAGCGGUACGCGAGCUGGGUUCAGAACGUCGUGAGACAGUUCGGUCCCUAUCCGUCGUGGGCGUAGGAAAUUUGAGAGGAGCUGUCCUUAGUACGAGAGGACCGGGAUGGACAUACCUCUGGUGUACCAGUUGUCGUGCCAACGGCAUAGCUGGGUAGCUAUGUGUGGACGGGAUAAGUGCUGAAAGCAUCUAAGCAUGAAGCCCCCCUCAAGAUGAGAUUUCCCAACUUCGGUUAUAAGAUCCCUCAAAGAUGAUGAGGUUAAUAGGUUCGAGGUGGAAGCAUGGUGACAUGUGGAGCUGACGAAUACUAAUCGAUCGAAGACUUAAUCAA